Molecule: transfer RNA, 58 nt
Filed under: Zea mays
Lineage: Eukaryota; Viridiplantae; Streptophyta; Magnoliopsida; Poales; Poaceae
Rfam family: tRNA
About the family: Transfer RNA (tRNA) molecules are approximately 80 nucleotides in length. Their secondary structure includes four short double-helical elements and three loops (D, anti-codon, and T loops).
Source: Rfam by way of RNAcentral
UAGCUCAGUCAGUAGAGCACAAGGCUCUUAACCUUGUGGUCGUGGGUUCGAGUCCCAC